CGUGUUCUAUAAAGGAAGAGGAUAUGUGUGCUUUUGACCAAGGAAUCUUUUGCUUCUGGAAAAUAACCACUUUCUUGAGACCAUCAUGUAGCACCUGGGCUUCCUCCUGUGUCAUUGGCCACUUCCUGGAGUCCCUUCCCAGUUUUCUCUUGUUUCCCCAACCUCUAAAAACUGAGUGCCCCUAGUCUCAUGUCCAGCAUCUGCUCCUUUCUGCAGCAUCAACUCCCUAGACAGCCUCAUCUUGUCUCAUGGCUCUAAAUCUCUCCGCGUAGACAGCCCGGACCUCUCCUCUGGAUUUCCAGGUCUACUACAUCUGCCAGCUCUAUCUGUCCUUGUGGGUGCUUAGUAAGGCAGCUCUCCUUACACCCCAAAACUGACCCCAAUCCUAUCCCAAACCUGCUUUCCUACAACCUGCCCUACUUCAGUGUCCGCUCCAUCCUUCCAGUUAGACAGACACCUAAGGUCAUUAGGUCAUCCUAGACUCCUCACUCGCUUUUCAUCCAGAGCUCAGCAAAUCCUGUCAGUCCCAUCUUCCAAAAUAUAUUCAGAAGCCAACCACUUUUUUGCUUUUUGACCGCGCCACGUGGUUUGUGGGAUCUUAGUUCCCCGACAAGGGAUCAAACCUGGGCCCUCAACAGUGAGAGCAUGGAGUCCUAACCACGGGACCACCAGGAAAGUCCCCAGAAGCCAAGCACUUCUUACUGUCUCUACUACCUUCCUGGUCCAAACCAUAAUUACCACUCACUGGAUUUCUGCCAGCUCCUCCCAACCUGUGUCCUGCUUCCACCCUUUUCAAUCCCACUCUGUCUCAGUGUUACUCAUCUGCUCAAAGCCCCUCCAGUGGCUUCCCCUCUCAUUCAGAGUAAAACCCAGACUCCCUAAAAUUCCUGCCAUGCCCUCCACCAUCUACCCCACCCCCAUUACCUGUCCAACUUCCAUUAUUCUCCCCCUUGACCCCUCUGCCACACUGACCUCCUUGUUCCUUUAAUACACCAAACACAUCCCUGCCUCAGGACCUUUGCAUUUGCUGUUACCGCUUCUGAAAUGUUUUUCCCCUAAAUAUCUAUUAAGAUAGUUGCCUCAGCUCUUUCAGGUGUAGGCUCAGUGACAACAUCUCAGUGGAGCCUUCCCUGACCACCCAACUUAAAAUCCAACCCCACCUCCACCCUGAUCCUCUGUUCAAUAUUUUACUUGCUUGCUGACUGCCUCUUCCCACUAGAAUGUAAGCUACUCAAAGGUGGAAUUUCAGUUUUAUCUGCUGUGUUACCAGCACCUAAAACAGUGUGAGACACAUAGCAAGCACUCAACAGCUAGUUUUGAGUGAAUGUAAAAUGAGGAAGGACACACUAUUUCAUCCACCUCGUGGUAUGCUCAAAGACAACAUGGAUGUAAUGGAACUAUUUAAGCACUUUUCUAUGUGCAGGCACUGUUCUAAGAACUUCAUGCAUAUUACCUCAUUAGUUGCAUACGACAGCUUUACAUGUAUUAACUAAUUUAACUCUCCCAAUAACCCUACCAGAGAAGUAUUGAUACUGUUAUUACCUCUAUUUAAGAAAUGAGGGAGAAAACCACUGAGUAAGUAACUUGCCCAAGGUCACAAAGCUACUAAGUGAUGGAGCCAAGAUUUUGACAGGCAGUUCUGGCCCCAGGGCCUAGACCUUAAAGUGUGUCACAGCUUAAAUGUCACACAUGUAAAAUUAUUUCCUGGAACUUUUUUUGAAGAACAGCAUUCGAUUCGUAAGAGCAUCUUGUAUUGUAAAGCCAUUAUUUUGGUUUCGGUGUUACAUCUGGGUUCGACUGUCUUCAUUUCUACCAGGGUAAGGAGCUCUUUACCUUGGAACAAAAUCAGUAUUUUCCUCUACUGAAAGGAGGGGGCGGGGAAUAACGGUCAAAACUCUGAAAACAGAACCAAAGGUUCAGUGAGUCUCUUUUACAGAAAACACCAUCUCUGCCAUAGAAUGUGGUUGCGAGUGACUUAGAUAACAACCAUCGUUCCUGGAGCAUUUAAUGGACACUUUGACAUCAUGUUAUUUCAUCACAACUCACAAAAACACAACCAAAUAGAUGCUACUGUUGCCAUGUUUCAGCGUCCUUAUAAGAAGAGGAAAAGACACCAGGCCACGUGAGGACACAGAGAGAAGGCGUUCCUCUGCAGGACAAACCAGCCCUGCCGGCACCUUGAUCUUGGACUUCCAGCCUCCAGAACUAAAUUCUGAUGAUAAAGGAGAGCGGACACUCCAAAGUCAUCCCAAAAAAACUGCUGCUUUGGGAAGAUUUGCCAGGUUUGUGCUGUGGCUUUUUGUAGUCUUAACCACUGGACACCAGGGAAGUCCCAGGAACAACUUCUUUUAACAGAAGAGGCAACUACUUCUUUAGAGAAUAAAGAAUUGGCCUUAUGAGAACUAUUUUUCUGCCAAGACAUUUGAGACAUGUUGACAAGGUAAUUUCUUUAUAGUGUCCUGGAUUUCCACAAAUUUCCUGUUGUGAACUUCCGUAAUUAGAAAGAGUGCUUCACUCAGGGAGGCACAAAUGGUGAUGUAUAACAAAUAUUCAGUAAACCUGUUUUUUUUAAUAGACUUCCUGUGACACAUGUAAUUGAUUAACUGCAUAUUAACAGGUCAGCUUCAAAAUAUGACUUGAUUUUCUUUUUUUUGUUUGUGGCCGUGCAGCAUGUGGGAUCCUAGUUCCUUGACCAGGGAUCAAACCUAUGCUCCCUGCAGUGGAAGUGCAGAGUCUUAACCACUGGUCCACCAGGGAAGUUCCUUGACUUGUUGAUUUUUAAAUGUUUAAAUUUUUACAUAUAGUAGAAUUCACUUUUCUGGUUGUAUUGUUCCAUGAAUUUUAACACAUGCAUAAAUUCCUGUGAUAAUCACAACAAAUGAGAAAAAGAACAAUUCCAACACCUCCAAAAAAUUCUCUUGUGCUGCCCUUCUGUAGGCAAACCCAACUUGACACCUAACUCCCGGCAACCACUGAUGUAUUCUCUGUGGCUAUAGUUUUGUCAUUUCUAGAAUGUCACGUAAAUGGAUUCAUACGGUAUACAAUCUUUAAAGACUCUUCUUUUGCUUAGCAUGACGCAUCUGGGAUUGAUACUUGCUGUUGCAUGAAUCAAUAAUUUGUUCCUUUUUAUUACUGAAUAGCGUUCCACUGCAAGAAUGUAUCACAGUUUAUUUAUCCAUUAACCCAUUGAAGGACAUCUGAGUUCUUUCCAGUGUUUUUUGAUUAUGAAUAAAGCAUCUGUAAACACUUGUUUGGAGGUUUUUGCAUGAUUUUAAGUUUUACUUCUCUGUGGUAAAGACCUAGAAGUGGGGUUGCUGGGUCAUUUGGUAGAUGUGUGUUUAUAAGAAAUUUGCCCGUCUGUUUUCCGGAGUGGCCGUAUCAUUUUGCAUUCCUACCAGCAAUGAAAGAGAAGUCCAGUUGCUCAGCAUUCUUGUCAGCACUUGGUAUUUUAUUUUAGCUGUUCUAAUAUGUGUAUUUCGUGGUGGUUUUAAUUUGCACUUCCCUAAUAACUACUGAUGUUGAGGAUCUUUUUAUGUGUUUAUUUGCCAUCUGUAUAUCGUUGUGAUGGUUAAUUUUAUGUAUCAACUUGAAGGGUCCAUAAUAUUUGGUCAAAUAGUAUUCUGGGUGUUCCUGCGAGGAUGUUUUUGGAUGAGAUUAAUGUUAAAGCAGUAGUGUAAGGAACACAGAUUGCCCUCUCUAAUGUAGGUGGGCCUCACCCAACUAGCUGAAGUUCUAAACAGAACAAAAAAGCUGACCUUCCCCUGAGUAAGAUAAUGUCUCUGGUUUGACUGCCUUUGAAGUGGGACAUUGACUUUUUCCUACCUUCAGACUCGAACUGAAACUCAUGCUCUUCCUGGGUCUUGAGGCUGCCAGCCAUCAGACUGGAUCUACACCAGCAGUUUUCCUGGUUCUCAGACCUGCAGCCAUCAGACUGG
Molecule: long non-coding RNA, 3935 nt
Organism: Aethalodelphis obliquidens (Pacific white-sided dolphin)
Lineage: Eukaryota; Metazoa; Chordata; Mammalia; Artiodactyla; Delphinidae
Exons: 4
Source: RefSeq, a predicted model, not a curated record